CGGCGGACGGGUGAGUAACGCGUGGGUAACCUGCCUCAUACAGGGGGAUAACAGUUAGAAAUGACUGCUAAUACCGCAUAAGCGCACAGGACCGCAUGGUCUGGUGUGAAAAACUCCGGUGGUAUGAGAUGGACCCGCGUCUGAUUAGCUAGUUGGAGGGGUAACGGCCCACCAAGGCGACGAUCAGUAGCCGGCCUGAGAGGGUGAACGGCCACAUUGGGACUGAGACACGGCCCAG
Molecule: ribosomal RNA, 238 nt
Filed under: uncultured Bacillota bacterium
Lineage: Bacteria; Bacillati; Bacillota
Description: uncultured Firmicutes bacterium partial 16S ribosomal RNA
Rfam family: Bacterial small subunit ribosomal RNA
Source: RNAcentral